This is a long non-coding RNA of Hemicordylus capensis (graceful crag lizard), 1368 nucleotides long. RefSeq lists it as uncharacterized. The record is from RefSeq and is a predicted model, not a curated record. The transcript has 2 exons. NCBI's taxonomy places the organism in Eukaryota, Metazoa, Chordata, Lepidosauria, Squamata, Cordylidae.
CUGUGUUCACCCCUCUCCCCAAUGGCCUCACUGAGUGAGGGAGAGAAUGAAGAAAAUAGGGAGGGCUGGAGCUGGGGGGCCCUCAGGAGCUGGGGGCCCGGGUUAGGAACAUAGGAGGCUGCCAGAGAAUUAGUCUGACCAUAAGUCCAUCUAGCUCAGUAUUGUCUUCACAGACUGGCGGCGGCUUCUCCAAGGUUGCAGGCAGGAAUCUCUCUCAGCCCUAUCUUGGAGAAGCCAGGGAGGGAACUUGGAACCUUCUGCUCUUCCCAGAGUGGCUCCAUCCCCUGAGGGGAAGAUCUUCCAGUGUUCACACUUCUAGUCUCCCAUUCAUAUGUAACCAGGCGGACCUUGCUUAGCUAAAGGGACAAGUCAUGCUUGCUACUACAAGACCAGCUUUUCUCUCCCGUUAUUUGAACCCAUUCGCUCAAUUAUCGCUACACUUCUGCUGAGCUGACAUACCUUGAUGAUGAUGAUGAUGCCAACAUGAUGCCCAUUCUUUCCAAUGGGCAUUAUGCCAUGCUGCUGUGUGCUUGAAGUCCUUACCGCGAGUGCGGCAGCCUUGUGGUACAGUCCCAUCACAGGUAUUUAUGCGCAUGCAGAGGUGUGGGAAGUGCUCAAGCCAUCUGUGUCCCCUUGCUCAACAUGUCAGCCAAAAACAGCUCAGAGAGGGUGUGAAGGAAGCACCCCAUGGAAAGUCAAGCACCCCACCCCCUUGCUCUGAACAAAUCUGGAAUGCUCCACGACUGCAGUGAAGUGUGUGUGUUUUUAAAAGGAGGUCAGGAGACAGACACUUCACCUAUUUCCUGCAUUACAUCUCAAAGGGCAGACCAUGUGAUCCAGCCAAGCAAACCAACCAGGCACUAAGCAAUUGUGUGGAGAGAUUCCUGACCACCUUCCACUUUCUUCCCUUCUCUUCUCUCCAAAGGCUUAGCUUUGGAAUGACUCAGGCUUACAUAAGUAAUUGAAACGUGCGUGGAUGGGACAUAAAAACUAUUAGUCACCAUCGUCAAUUUCCAAUGUCCUAUUAUUCAGAAGAUGGAGACAGACAGGCAAAAUCUUCAUCAGGACUGCAAAUGUGGUUUGUGUUAUGGCAAAAAACAAUGAAAUGUCUUCUCUCUCUCUCUCUCUCUCUCUCUCUCUCUCUUUGCUUAUUGCCUCAUUAUGUCCAUUAGUAAUAUGCAACUACCAGAGAAAAGUGCAAAACUGUUUGCUGAGGUGCUGCUGUGGAGUGGACAGGAUCAGAAAUAAGACCUCAACGCUGUGGCAGUGGCACCCAUGAAAUUACCCUCACUCAUAUAGUCUUGUACAGUGAAGGCUUAUGCAUUUAUUUGUGACUUAAAUAUAAAUAUAAAUAUAAAUACACACACA